Molecule: long non-coding RNA, 1489 nt
Organism: Hyla sarda
Lineage: Eukaryota; Metazoa; Chordata; Amphibia; Anura; Hylidae
Exons: 5
Source: RefSeq, a predicted model, not a curated record
CGGAAGUGGACGGAGGCCGGUUAGCUCCGUAACACAUGCGCUAAUGGAAGCCGGGCGUCUGCAGGAAUGCGUGUGCCUACUACACAAAGGACUACAAUUUUCUGUGUAAACGGGAUUUACCCUUACAUAAAAGGCUGAGGGAAGAAUCUGCUAAGUAAGAGCCCCUUAGCAAAUCUGGGAGCCAACCUAUGUUUUCCAAAGUCUUCAGUGAGAAGAGAUUUCACAAUACCACAGAGCAGAACAUAAAGAGCAACACCCCUUACAAGAGUUGGAACAACUUUAUAAGAAGUCACCAGCAGGCAAACAACGUCGUCAUUCACAAUGAGAACGUAUCACUUAUAACAGGAAAUGUAUGCAUCAGAAGCACCCCUCCUCCAUUGCUUUCCAGAAGAAUAAGGACUACAUAGAAACCCUGAAGAAAAAAAGCAUUUGAGGACAGCAGUUCUUCUGCCAAGUUUGGAAACUGCAAAUACACACAAUUACAAGAAUGUGAUCAAGGACAGAGCAAAAGUUAAAUAUUUAACAGGAAAGUGGAGAGCAGAAUAAAGAAAACUCAUUAGCUGCAUGUCUGAUCUAUGAAGGCUUCCUACUAUUAAUAGAAAGCAGAUUAGUGGAAGUGUAACCCCGCUCAACCCAUGGACCUCCAAUCAGAAGAAUCCAAGCUCAACACAAACAGAUGACCAGAUGACCAACGCUUCUAAUGCAGUGAAGAAGGCUACCCAUUCCUCAGCAUCCCGUGGUUGGAAGAUGACAAGGAUCAAGUUGUCAAGACUGGGUUUGGAUGACAUCGCGAGACAGGAGAACCCAGAACCAAAGGAUUCCCUCCAAAAUUUUGGAAAAGGCUUUUGGACACCACAAAGGACGCUUUAAAUAAUCUGUCUCAAGAGAAGCUACAAAUGAGGACAGAAGCUCCAUCAAUUGCCUAAGCCCUAGACUAUCCCUUUACUGGCAACAGUAGAGUCGGUGCUAUAGCUACAUAGUGAACAAUGCGGCAAUAUAAACCAUGAUCUAUCUAAGCUGACAGCAAGAAUCUAGGGCUACCUAUUGUAAACUUAAUAACUUGUGAAUACUGAGCUUAGAGGAUUACCAAUCCAGCAAGCAACUCUAAUGUGGUUUUCUGGUAUUAGGAUCAAGAGGUGGAAUGUUAUGGACAUGAAAAUGACAUACAUUUUAUCUGCUAUAUUUGUGAUCCUAGACGAAGAAAGCCACAUGGGUUUAGACAAAGGAAAGAUGGAGUCUCUUACCUGGGGUCUCCUAGUCAUGUUCUUUAGACAAAGACCACUUGUGGGUGGGCUAAGGGGCGGAGAAAACAUAAUAAAAGCCCAUUGAAUAGGGGGCAAGUUAUCUUUUCUCUUCCUGGGCUGCAUACCAACACACCUUUCCAUUCAGCUUCCUGAUUGGGCCUUAUCCUGAGACAAAGGACUGCAGCCUUUCUCAUGCCGGGCAUAUGUUCAUCAUACUUGCUGUAAAAGGUUCCCCGAAGCUAAGU